UACGGAGGGUGCAAGCGUUAAUCGGAAUUACUGGGCGUAAAGCGCGCGUAGGUGGCUUGAUAAGCCGGUUGUGAAAUCCCCGGGCUCAACCUGGGAACUGCAUCCGAAACUGGCAGGCUAUAGUCUUGUAGAGGGGGGUAGAAUUCCAGGUGUAGCGGUGAAAUGCGUAGAGAUCUGGAGGAAUACCAGUGGCGAAGGCGGCCUUCUGGACUGACACUGUCGCUGAGGUGCGAAAGCGUGGGUAGCAAACAGG
Molecule: unclassified non-coding RNA, 253 nt
Filed under: uncultured Halomonadaceae bacterium
Lineage: Bacteria; Pseudomonadati; Pseudomonadota; Gammaproteobacteria; Oceanospirillales; Halomonadaceae
Description: contains 16S-23S intergenic spacer region
Rfam family: Bacterial small subunit ribosomal RNA
Source: RNAcentral